This is a long non-coding RNA of Hippocampus comes (tiger tail seahorse), 1334 nucleotides long. RefSeq lists it as uncharacterized. NCBI's taxonomy places the organism in Eukaryota, Metazoa, Chordata, Actinopteri, Syngnathiformes, Syngnathidae. The record is from RefSeq and is a predicted model, not a curated record. The transcript has 2 exons.
GCUUCGAUUGGUCGACUUCAACAAGCUGCUUCCGGACACUAAAGCGUUGGGUGAGUUUUGUCGGAAAGUAACUUGUCAGCUGUUGCGCGUAUCUGCACUUUGAUAAUUUGCCCUUUCAUGGCGAAGAGGCACGCUGACAACACUUUAUUUUCCCAAUCACCCGCUAAGAAAAAAACCCGGUCUCUUUGUCGUGUUGUUGACCUACAGCUCGAGAGCAUGGCUGUGUACGGGGUCGUGAGCCCAUCCUGCACGCUAGCUUUGUUGAGUGAUCGUUGCAGAAAAAAACGACAUAGCUUAGGAAUUUCAGAUGUUCCACAAGAAGAAGCGCCUCUGCAUCUCAAGGCGACAAACCCAGACGCGCCCAAGGAGAGUACGUCUCAUACGCACACAUGCGGUCGUUAUCAUGAAUACCUGGACUCCACCACGGCCAGAAAACGACGCCGAGAAGAAUCUGUGGAAUUGGGGACUGCCGCUGCUAAGGUUUACGAUAAAACAGACGCCGAUAAUGAAGAUUGCACUUACAACUCAUUUCAAUACUGGAAGGUCCCUUUGCCUCAACUCGACCUUUCGCUGCUGGAGGAAACCACAGAACGGUGCCAAAUAAAACACAAUUCAAUUGUCAGAAACGCUUUGGAUGCAAUGGAGACUUGAAAUCCAACACUUAAGCGAGCAAACUUAAAGCACACAUUGUUGGAAAAAUAUGAAUAUAAUUGUCAAUGUCAAUUUCUUGUGACUUGAAACGCAAAGCGAGACAGAUAUUCUUUGACCUGGUGACCAACACUUUUUUUCCCUUCAAAAAGUUGUUUUAAUGGAAAGCCGUUUGAUCAUUUAUUCAAUAUCCUAUGCUCUGCCUUCACAAGCAAAACAGUUUAGUGCAUUAGUCAAACUUCUAUGUCUUACACAUAUGUUUUUACACCGCUGCCUUCUACUACUGAAUUACAUUUAUGUUUACUCGAAGGACAACUUUGGCAUAUUAGUAGAACAAGCACGUUACUCUAAUGUGGCAGAUUUGUCAUUGACACCUUUAUGGUGCUACAACUAACUAGUAGAAUUUUACAACGUCACUGAUACUGUAUUGGAAAAACAACUCUCAUAAUUUAGCCUCUUAAAAUAAACAACACAGCGACACUUGGCCUUCAGGUUCCUCUCCCAGCAUUAUAACAACUGAAUGGAAUAUUCGGGAAUGUGCUGUCCAAUAUAUCCUGUGUGCAUGACCUGAUUAGGCCUGCAAGGAUGAGAGGCAAAACAUCUAAGUCUGAGCAUCUAAGUCUCAGAAUCAUCCAGCUGUGAUUGAUUAAAUACAAUGAAAAUGAAAUGACUUGGACAAAGGAGAA